AUAUCAAUAAGCGGAGGAAAAGAAACUAACAAGGAUGCGCUUAGUAACGGCGAGCGAACCGCGCAAAGCCCAACUUGAAAAUCUCCCUCGGAGAAUUGUAGUCUAUAGAAGUACCCUCUGCAACGGGCUGAGCUAAAGUCUCCUGGAAAGGGGCGUCAGAGAGGGUGAGAACCCCGUAGCUUACGCUUAGUUGCCUCACGAGGUGCUUUCAAAGAGUCGGGUUGCUUGGGAAUGCAGCCCAAAUUUGGUGGUAAAUCCCAUCUAAGGCUAAAUAUUGGCGAGAGACCGAUAGCGCACAAGUA
Molecule: ribosomal RNA, 302 nt
Filed under: uncultured Sphaeropleales
Lineage: Eukaryota; Viridiplantae; Chlorophyta; Chlorophyceae; Sphaeropleales
Description: partial large subunit ribosomal RNA
Rfam family: Eukaryotic large subunit ribosomal RNA
Source: RNAcentral